UUAGUUAUUGAUUGAAAUUAU
This 21-nucleotide non-coding RNA is filed under the name Caenorhabditis elegans. The record is from RNAcentral. Lineage: Eukaryota; Metazoa; Nematoda; Chromadorea; Rhabditida; Rhabditidae.